UCGAGGAUCUUCGGCAAUGGGCGCAAGCCUGACCGAGCGACGCCGCGUGUGCGAAGAAGGCCUUCGGGUUGUAAAGCACUGUCGAGGGGGAGGAAGCCGCAAGGUUGACCGACCCCUGGAGGAAGCACGGGCUAAGUUCGUGCCAGCAGCCGCGGUAAGACGAACCGUGCGAACGUUGUUCGGAUUCACUGGGCUUAAAGGGCGCGUAGGCGGGUCACCAAGUCCGGGGUGAAAUCUUUCGGCUCAACCGGAAAAGGGCCUUGGAUACUGGUGAUCUCGAGGGGGGUAGGGGCGUGUGGAACUUCCGGUGGAGCGGUGAAAUGCGUAGAUAUCGGAAGGAACGCCGGUGGCGAAAGCGACGCGCUGGACCCCUUCUGACGCUGAGGCGCGAAAGCCAGGGGAGCAAACGGGAUUAGAUACCCCCGUAGUCC
Molecule: ribosomal RNA, 431 nt
Filed under: uncultured bacterium
Lineage: Bacteria
Description: bacterial SSU rRNA
Rfam family: Bacterial small subunit ribosomal RNA
Source: RNAcentral